GAGCACAACCACCGAGUGGAGGAGCUGUGGGACUUCACCUCUCUGAGUCUCCUGCUGCUCGACUGCAAAACGGAGUUCCAGAAGGCACCGAGAAGCUCUGUAUAAGGACACAAUUCCACCACCAAUGCAGGAGUGCCUGGCAAUGGGAUAAUAACAGCACCUCCCAGGACUGCAGCUGCCCCCAAGCCUGACCUCCCUGGGUUCCUCUGUCCCCUUCUCACCCUGCAUUCCUUCAAGACCUGCUAGCAAUGAGCUGUCCCGUGGAAAGGCUCUGGUCCCAGAGUUGUGGAUACGCAGAGCAGGAUGGGAGGCCUCCUGUUCUCCUGCCCAUCUGGAUGCUUGAAGCCCUGGUGUGGGAAGUCUGCCAAGUGAUACCUCUGCUUACAUACCUCCAGGGAAGGCAAGCUCACUACCUCCUAAGUCAGUCACUGUCUCUGGACAGCUUGGAGUCCCUGUGAUUCCCCACAACUGGACCACCAUGUGGAGACUUGAGGCAGAGCCCACGUCCUUCUGAGGCUCCUCUGGCCAGGCUCUGCAGGCCAGAUUCCAAGAACAGGUCACCAGGUCCCAGCCACAGCCUUCAGCCCUCUCAGGGCCCUGGUGGGUCACCAGGGGGAGUCAGAGCCCCUUCCCCUCCUGGGACCCUGUGGGGCACAAAGCAAGUCCUGGUCCAGAGGAAGAACCCCAGGAGAGUUUGCUGAGCAAGUGACUGAUUGUGUGACCAGGUCCCCACCUGCAGUCUCCGCCUGCCACUCCCCACCCUGCCCCACUGACCUGUGCUUCUCCUCCAAGGGCUCCACAGUGAGAUAGUGCAGGUCUCUGGAGAGGUGGUAUGGGUCCCAUCGGGGCUGCCCCUGGGUUCUGGCCUUGAUGGACCACAGCAGGCCAAAGAGCAGCAGCAGGCCGCCUGCACCGCAGAAGAAGAAGCUGAUCAUCCUGAGCAGGGCACUGGGGACCUCAGAUGUGGGGUGCCCAGUGGGCGGGGCUGGUUGGCCAGGGUGGGCACCCAUAUCCGCUUCACUCCACCAAGUGAAACAAAGCAUCCCAGCCACCAGAACCACAGUGCCACUGACCGUCAUACAAUAGCGGAGGGUGGAGGCCACAUGGCUCCUGUCCCAUGUCUGGACAAGGAGAGGGAAAGAAAAGAAGACAAGGGCUGCAUGAAAUAUCUGCUGGGUGCUGGAGACCUGAGUUUUAGUCUUCCUCUGCCUGAGGUUGCUGUGCAACCUUGGAAAGGUCACUUGACCCUCUGUGCCUCCGUUUCCUCAUCCAUAAAAUGGACAUGAUCCCCCCAGCUUUGCAUGGCUGCUUUGAAGGUCGCAAGUGAUGUGUAGUGAGUUCCUAGUACCACUCCUGGAACUCAGCAGGCUCUGAAUAAGUGUGGUUAUGGUCACUUUAGUCCUCUCUUGAAGCCUCAAAGGCCUCACCUGUAAGACACCUCACUGCGUCUACCUCACGGGAAGCUGGGAAGGAGGAGAGUGAACCUUGUGGAAUCCACCAGGCCUGCCAGGGUCGGGGCUUGCUGGUUACUCAUCAUUGCCUUAUUUCACCCCGUCAUGAUCCCAUCAGGUUGACACCAUUAUCUCCAUUCGAUGGAUGAAGAAACCAAGACCCAGAGAGAGUAAAUGAACCAGUGUAGAAGUGGGUAUUGAAAAGCCUGAAGUGGAAAUUCACAACAUGGAGACAAAACUUUGUGCAAAAAGAUGUUCAUCGUGGCCUUAUUUAUAAUGGUCAUUGUGCCGGUUUGAAUGUAUUAUGUCCCCCAAAUGCCAUUAUCUUUGAUGUAAUCUUGUAUGGACAGAUGUUAUCAGGGUUGCUUAGAUUGUAAUUCUUUGAGUGUUUCUUUGGAAUGCACCCCACCCAGCUGUGGGUGAAGACUCUGAUUGGAUAAUUUCCAUGGAGGUGUUGCUCCACCCAUCCAGGGUGGGUCUAAGUUGAUCAG
Choloepus didactylus (southern two-toed sloth) is the source of this 1942-nucleotide long non-coding RNA. RefSeq lists it as uncharacterized. The transcript has 5 exons. NCBI's taxonomy places the organism in Eukaryota, Metazoa, Chordata, Mammalia, Pilosa, Megalonychidae. The record is from RefSeq and is a predicted model, not a curated record.